UGGGGAAUAUUGCGGCAAUGGGGCGAAAGCCUGACGCAGCGACGCCGCGUGAGGGAUGAAGGUCUUCGGAUCGUAAACCUCUGUCAGAAGGGAAGAAUAAGCACUGUGCUAAUCAGCAGUGCCCUGACGGUACCUUCAAAGGAAGCACCGGCUAACUCCGUGCCAGCAGCCGCGGUAAUACGGAGGGUGCAAGCGUUAAUCGGAAUUACUGGGCGUAAAGCGCGUGUAGGCUGUAUGGCAAGUUGGAGGUGAAAUCCCACGGCUCAACCGUGGAACUGCCUUCAAAACUACCAAACUGGAGUGCGAGAGAGGAUAGCGGAAUUCCAGGUG
Molecule: ribosomal RNA, 330 nt
Filed under: uncultured Desulfovibrio sp.
Lineage: Bacteria; Pseudomonadati; Thermodesulfobacteriota; Desulfovibrionia; Desulfovibrionales; Desulfovibrionaceae
Description: bacterial SSU rRNA
Rfam family: Bacterial small subunit ribosomal RNA
Source: RNAcentral